RNAcentral lists this ribosomal RNA (489 nucleotides) under uncultured bacterium. RNAcentral describes it as "partial 16S ribosomal RNA". It matches the Rfam family "Bacterial small subunit ribosomal RNA", at positions 28 to 507 of the family's 1533-position model. The record is from RNAcentral.
GAUGAACGCUAGCUACAGGCUUAACACAUGCAAGUCGAGGGGCAGCAUGAACUUAGCUUGCUAAGUUUGAUGGCGACCGGCGCACGGGUGAGUAACACGUAUCCAACCUGCCGAUGACUCGGGGAUAGCCUUUCGAAAGAAAGAUUAAUACCCGAUGGCAUAGUUCUUCCGCAUGGUAGAACUAUUAAAGAAUUUCGGUCAUCGAUGGGGAUGCGUUCCAUUAGGUUGUUGGCGGGGUAACGGCCCACCAAGCCUUCGAUGGAUAGGGGUUCUGAGAGGAAGGUCCCCCACAUUGGAACUGAGACACGGUCCAAACUCCUACGGGCGGCAGCAGUGAGGAAUAUUGGUCAAUGGACGAGAGUCUGACCCAGCCAAGUAGCGUGAAGGAUGACUGCCCUAUGGGUUGUAAACUUCUUUUAUACGGGAAUAAAGUGAGGCACGUGUGCCUUUUUGUAUGUACCGUAUGAAUAAGGAUCGGCUAACUCCGUG